GGUUUCGUAGUUCAACGGAUAGAAUAGAAGUUUCCUAAACUUUAGAUGUGGGUUCGAUUCCCGCCGAGACCA
This 72-nucleotide transfer RNA is filed under the name Pedobacter segetis. RNAcentral describes it as "Pedobacter sp. SD-b tRNA-Arg". It matches the Rfam family "tRNA". From Rfam's summary of the family: Transfer RNA (tRNA) molecules are approximately 80 nucleotides in length. Their secondary structure includes four short double-helical elements and three loops (D, anti-codon, and T loops). Further hydrogen bonds mediate the characteristic L-shaped molecular structure. tRNAs have two regions of fundamental functional importance: the anti-codon, which is responsible for specific mRNA codon recognition, and the 3' end, to which the tRNAs corresponding amino acid is attached (by aminoacyl-tRNA synthetases). tRNAs cope with the degeneracy of the genetic code in two manners: having more than one tRNA (with a specific anti-codon) for a particular amino acid; and 'wobble' base-pairing, i.e. permitting non-standard base-pairing at the 3rd anti-codon position. The record is from RNAcentral. Lineage: Bacteria; Pseudomonadati; Bacteroidota; Sphingobacteriia; Sphingobacteriales; Sphingobacteriaceae.